RNAcentral lists this ribosomal RNA (498 nucleotides) under uncultured bacterium. RNAcentral's name for it is "partial 16S ribosomal RNA". It matches the Rfam family "Bacterial small subunit ribosomal RNA", at positions 28 to 507 of the family's 1533-position model. The record is from RNAcentral.
GACGAACGCUGGCGGCGUGCCUAAUACAUGCAAGUCGAGCGGACGAAUCGAAAGCUUGCUUUUGAUUCGUUAGCGGCGGACGGGUGAGUAACACGUGGGCAACCUGCCCUGUAGACGGGGAUAACACCGAGAAAUCGGUGCUAAUACCGGAUAACACGAAAUGUCGCAUGACGUUUCGUUGAAAGACGGCGCAAGCUGUCGCUACAGGAUGGGCCCGCGGCGCAUUGGCUAGUUGGUGAGGUAACGGCUCACCAAGGCGACGAUGCGUAGCCGACCUGAGAGGGUGAUCGGCCACACUGGGACUGAGACACGGCCCAGACUCCUACGGGAGGCAGCAGUAGGGAAUCUUCCGCAAUGGACGAAAGUCUGACGGAGCAACGCCGCGUGAGCGAAGAAGGCCUUCGGGUCGUAAAGCUCCGUUGUUAGGGAAGAACAAGUAACGCAGUAACUGGCGUUACCGUGACGGUACCUAACGAGAAAGCCACGGCUAACUACGUG